UACGUAGGUGGCGAGCGUUGUCCGGAAUUACUGAGCGUAAAGGGCGAGUAGGCGGUAACACAAGUCAGAUGUGAAAGGCGAGGGCUCAACUCUCGGAUUGCAUUUGAAACUGUGUAACUUGAGUGCGGUAGAGGAAAGUGGAAUUCCCAGUGUAGCGGUGAAAUGCGUAGAUAUUGGGAGGAACACCAGUGGCGAAGGCGACUUUCUGGGCCGUAACUGACGCUGAGGCGCGAAAGCGUGGGGAGCGAACAGGAUUAGAUACCCCGGUAGUCCCU
Molecule: ribosomal RNA, 275 nt
Filed under: uncultured prokaryote
Description: partial 16S ribosomal RNA
Rfam family: Bacterial small subunit ribosomal RNA
Source: RNAcentral